Molecule: ribosomal RNA, 111 nt
Filed under: Jaculus jaculus (lesser Egyptian jerboa)
Lineage: Eukaryota; Metazoa; Chordata; Mammalia; Rodentia; Dipodidae
Source: RNAcentral
CUAUGGCCAUACUACUCUGAAUGCGCCCAAUCCUGUCUGAUCUCAGAAGCUAAGCAAGGUCGGGCCUAGUUAGUACUUGGAUGGGAAACAGACAGAUGGAUGCACCAAGGC